GCCUCUGUAGCUCAGUUGGUUUAGAGCAACCGCCUCUUAAGCGGUGGGUCGCAGGUUCGAAUCCUUCCGGGGGCA
This 75-nucleotide transfer RNA is filed under the name Gordonia phage Bachita. RNAcentral's name for it is "tRNA-Lys". It matches the Rfam family "tRNA". From Rfam's summary of the family: Transfer RNA (tRNA) molecules are approximately 80 nucleotides in length. Their secondary structure includes four short double-helical elements and three loops (D, anti-codon, and T loops). RNAcentral also lists the same sequence under 3 other names. Lineage: Duplodnaviria; Heunggongvirae; Uroviricota; Caudoviricetes. The record is from RNAcentral.